Molecule: long non-coding RNA, 1870 nt
Filed under: Capsicum annuum
Lineage: Eukaryota; Viridiplantae; Streptophyta; Magnoliopsida; Solanales; Solanaceae
Description: long non-coding RNA (CANN_LNC001389)
Source: RNAcentral
UCUGAAAUAGCUACUGGAUAUUUGGUUGCGCAUAACUUGAAAACAUAUUAAAUGUACGGAUGUACAGUGUAAUUUCAGUCUCUACUGAUGGCAUCUAUCAGUUAUCAGAAACCAAUUAGACCUGCAAACAUUUGUCAGAAAAAAGGUAUUGUGGCUCAGCAGAGAGCAAACACUUGGUCGAAUAUCAACUCUUCUAGAUAUUUUUUCAACAUGCAAAUGUUCUUAUUAGUCACUUGAUAUGUAAUACAAUCCCAGAAAAUUAUCAAAUUCUAGAAUCUGGUUGGCGCAAUAACAUAGAAGUUUAUAUUGUUAUUAUUGUUUGUGUUAAUUGAUCCAAGUUGACAUGAAUGUGUAAGCAAGUCCUAGGUGAAUAUGUUUCAACUGUCUUCAUUUAUUGAUGCCCGGCCAGAUGGGCACCUAUUGUCUUUUUUUUUUCUCUUUCUUUUCUUUUUAAUGACAAUGGUGUCCGAUCAGCUUGCCUCGCAUGAAUAGGAGUGUGUUGAAUCCACAGAAAUCUAGUAAUAAUGGAGCAAAGCCAUGAUGAUUUUGUACAAAGAAUGAUAGACUACGAGGUGAUUGAGCAAAGUGUAACAACCAGGGACUAAAAUCUUGUCUUCAGAUUUCGUCAUAGGCAUCAGGAUAACACUCACUGCUUCCCCAGAUUCCGUACAUAAUAGGAUUGAAAAAUUAAGAAGAAAAGGUGGGAAAUCGAAUCUUCACCAAUAAUAUAAAAGUUCAAAUAACAUUUUCUUAAAAAGUCAAUCUAACUCUUGAGAAAGUAUGGUUAGAAAAUAACUUAUAUAAUUUCCACGUCUAAAUAAUUAGAUUACUUAUACUUUAUCUAAUCAUAGUUUUUAUUGACACUCACCAUCUUCCUUUGCUCGAAAAAUAAAUAGCUUUACUUAAUUUAUGAGACCUUUCUUUGGAUGGACUCCACAGUCCACACAAUACAAGCUUAACUUGUCCAGCUUUUUUCCCUUAAAACAUAAAUAUAAACAUGGCUAUUUGAAGGAGAACUAAAGAAAAAGAAGUCAAAAUGAGUGUUCAGAGUUCAGAAACUGCAGAUUAUAAUUCAAUAGGGGCCCACUGAAAAAAGGUUUUGUCAAUUAAGGGGAAAGUACACACACACAUACAUCAAGUGCAACAGCUUUGAAGCUAAAGACAUAAUGAAAUACCAAAACUACCAGCCUAACUUCAACUGUGUCUCCCCUAAUUCUUCUUAGGGAUCAAAACUAAAUACAAAGAUUUUAGUGAAAAUUAACUCAUUGAAACCAAUGGAUACAGAAAUUUAAAAGAGUUUCCUUAGUUUAUUUGCUCAGCUAAUAAUUAUUAUUUCAAAAAUUUAUAGGACAAUUUUUGAGAAAAGUUCCAAUCCUGUGAAACCGUCAGACUGAAUUAAAAAUAAAAAGCGUAUCCCUCAGAAUGCCUAGUAUCUACAUUGCUGAAAUAACACGGUUCCUCAACCUUUUUGUAAAAGGGAGCACCAAUCCAUAUAACAUCUCAGAUUACUAAAUGAUUCAUCACUGGGAUAAUCUCUACAGUGCCCCACUUUUGGUAUUGAACACUUCUUUUUUAAUGUACUAAAUUUUUUGCUAUGUGCAGUUUAUGAAAGGACAAAAAGGAUUCAAUGUUACCGAGAAAUUAUUUUCACGGUCUAAACCCGUAAUUUUUCAAUUACCUGAUAACAAUUUUGAUUACCCCAAAAACACAUACACCAGAAGAAAAAAAAAACAGAAAACAAAAAACAUAACAGAAAGUAACCUUUGUUAACAGACGGCGUGCUACCUGUGGCCGCCGGCGAAGAAGGAUAUUCAGCUCGGCGAAUGGGACAGAGCUGUGGCGGAUGGAACAGAGUGACGGCCGCUUGUUA